Molecule: ribosomal RNA, 464 nt
Filed under: uncultured bacterium
Lineage: Bacteria
Description: bacterial SSU rRNA
Rfam family: Bacterial small subunit ribosomal RNA
Source: RNAcentral
AAUGAACGCUGGCGGCAGGCCUAACACAUGCAAGUCGAACGGAGUUAUAUUGUAGCUUGCUAUGGUAUAACUUAGUGGCAGACGGGUGAGUAAUGUAUAGGAAUCUACCUAGUAGUAUGGAAUAAUUGUUGGAAACGGCAACUAAUACCGUAUACGCCCUACGGGGGAAAAAUUUAUUGCUAUUAGAUGAGCCUAUAUUAGAUUAGCUAGUUGGUGGAGUAACAGCCUACCAAGGCAAUGAUCUAUAGCUGAUCUGAGAGGAUGAUCAGCCACACUGGAACUGAGAUACGGUCCAGACUCCUACGGGAGGCAGCAGUGGGGAAUAUUGGACAAUGGGCGAAAGCCUGAUCCAGCCAUGCCGCAUGAGUGAAGAAGGCCUUUGGGUUGUAAAGCUCUUUUAGUGAGGAAGAUAAUGUCGGUACUCACAGAAGAAGUCCUGGCUAACUCCGUGCCAGCCGCCGCAG